GAAGCAUGGUGUUGAAGCAAGAAAAGCUGGGCAAGGAGCCUGUGCAAAAUCAAGGCUGUACCACUUCUCAAAGGAACCCAUAAAUGAUUUAGGCCACUGUUCACGAAUGAAAAUGCCUGUGGGGUCCAUGACGUACUGUACAUAUUCCCAUCACUCCAUUUACCGCCCUGCUUGUAUCUGCUGACUUCACUGAACUAUGAGCACCUAGAUGCACAUUUGGAAAUAUACAAGAAGAUGAAGAGAACACUAUUGCCAUUGAGACCUUUGCAGUGUGAUGGUUAUUUAGCUUUUGAAUGGGCUUUUACACAAAAUAGUGCUUUGUGGGAAUUUUCAGGUAUAAGAGAGCAUCUUCCUUACAAAGAAAUCCCCUCUUAACCAACCGAUCAGUCAGUAUUAAAAAAAAAAAAUGAAUGUGUGGGAUAUUGCAGAUUGAAGUGUGCAAAGCAUUUGUGUUUUAAUUAAAAUUUUAGAGGAAAAACUCAUUCACAUGAAUUAAUAGCAAGAUUUUUAGCAGGUUGCAUAAAUGGUGACAAAAUUUACAUCUUUGUAUUCAAGAAGAGUAUGAAGUUACUUGGUGAAGAUCACUACAUAUGUUAAAUUCUUUCAACAUGUGCUAUAAAUAUUAAAGAUCUGUGGCUAUUAAAUUACGUGAGAG
Molecule: long non-coding RNA, 655 nt
Filed under: Equus caballus (horse)
Lineage: Eukaryota; Metazoa; Chordata; Mammalia; Perissodactyla; Equidae
Description: lncRNA (ENSECAG00000035702.3)
Source: RNAcentral